Molecule: non-coding RNA, 765 nt
Organism: Cinara cedri
Lineage: Eukaryota; Metazoa; Arthropoda; Insecta; Hemiptera; Aphididae
Source: the annotation of a GenBank genome assembly
CGUUUGUCAUUGCGUACACACCGCGCUCGUAUCGCGUUCUCUCAUUUGUAUGAAUUAUACUCCUCCUCCCGCACACGCAAUAAUUCGUUUGAAAAUUAAAAAUCCACUCGUUUACCGCGUAAUUGUAAUUGUAUUAGGAUUUAAAUGCACUAAAAACCGUCGAAAAGUGCUCUGAAAAAAAUAAAGCUAAACAUGCUUUUAGACAAUAACACAUUUACUUGUUUUCGAACGAAUGUAAACAAUUACUUAAAUGCGCAUAUUGUAUGCACAGAGUAGAUUGAAUUGUAAACUACUUACGAAAAUACAUAAAUAAUAAACGUUGAUUUUUAUUUUUUAGUCUGGAUAAAAGUUACACAUUGGUUCGACGCGAUUUUUAAUUCAAUGUCUUCCCGCUUGGCAAAAUCCUGAAUGCGCGCCGCUGCCCCGUUUAGCGAUUUUCUACGACCCCAGCAUUAUUUUCUCGUGUACUAUGUUAUAGCGAUAUGACCGACAUGGACAAUUCCGGAGUUUUAAAAAAAUGACGCCCCGUAAUAUUUAGUGCCGAUAGGCGCGUAUCAAUGGAAAUCGCAUUCUCGAUACUUGCGGGCUAGACGCCACCCUUGUUCGCGUCUUGUACGUAUGCACAUUCUUAGUUUCGUGUGUUAUUUUUAUUAUUAUUAUUAUUAGUCGGAGAAGCGAAAUUCGAUUAAUAGAAAAAAAAAAUCGCGUUUCACAUGUCGAACGAAAUAUCGUUUCGUGUGACAAAAUGUAAACUUCUCCUGCGCC